Molecule: ribosomal RNA, 253 nt
Filed under: uncultured bacterium
Lineage: Bacteria
Description: partial 16S ribosomal RNA
Rfam family: Bacterial small subunit ribosomal RNA
Source: RNAcentral
GACGAAGGAUGCAAGCGUUAUCCGGAUUCAUUGGGUUUAAAGGGAGCGUAGGCGGCCUUGUAAGUCAGUGGUGAAAUCUUCCCGCUUAACGGGAAAACUGCCAUUGAUACUGCAGGGCUUGAGUACAGAUGCUGUGGGCGGAAUAUGACAUGUAGUGGUGAAAUACAUAGAGAUGUCAUAGAACACCGAUUGCGAAGGCAGCUCACAAAACUGUAACUGACGCUGAGGCUCGAAAGUGUGGGGAUCAAACAGG